CCACUUCGGUGGGGAUUAGUGGCGAACGGGUGAGUAACACGUGGGCAAUCUGCCCUUCACUCUGGGACAAGCCCUGGAAACGGGGUCUAAUACCGGAUACUGACCGGCCUGGGCAUCCAGGCGGGUCGAAAGCUCCGGCGGUGAAGGAUGAGCCCGCGGCCUAUCAGCUUGUUGGUGAGGUAAUGGCUCACCAAGGCGACGACGGGUAGCCGGCCUGAGAGGGCGACCGGCCACACUGGGACUGAGACACGGCCCAGACUCCUACGGGAGGCAGCAGUGGGGAAUAUUGCACAAUGGGCGAAAGCCUGAUGCAGCGACGCCGCGUGAGGGAUGACGGCCUUCGGGUUGUAAACCUCUUUCAGCAGGGAAGAAGCGAAAGUGACGGUACCUGCAGAAGAAGCGCCGGCUAACUACGUGCCAGCAGCCGCGGUAAUACGUAGGGCGCAAGCGUUGUCCGGAAUUAUUGGGCGUAAAGAGCUCGUAGGCGGCUUGUCACGUCGGAUGUGAAAGCCCGGGGCUUA
This 521-nucleotide ribosomal RNA is filed under the name Streptomyces flaveolus. RNAcentral describes it as "bacterial SSU rRNA". It matches the Rfam family "Bacterial small subunit ribosomal RNA", at positions 75 to 611 of the family's 1533-position model. Lineage: Bacteria; Bacillati; Actinomycetota; Actinomycetes; Kitasatosporales; Streptomycetaceae. The record is from RNAcentral.